CCUUCGUGUUGUUGGCGGCAGUCGUAAUCGCGCUGACGGCCGCGCUCGCAUGGAAGCUGGACCUCGGUUUUGGUUCAGUGAUGGCCAGAAGCCUUCCACCAUAUGCACCAGAUUUCAUGAACGCCAACCGGGAAUAUGGGAAACAGUCUUCUCGUCCUCAUCGAAUCGUCAUCAUCGGUUCCGGACCUACAGCUCUGGGUGCCGCUAAAAGACUCUACGAUCUCGGGCAAGGAAAAAACAACAGCGUGAUCACUAUCCUGGAAGAACUAGGCAAACCAGGAGGCCUAGCCUCGUCUGUCAGGGAUGAUAAAGGCUUUCUCUGGGAUGUCGGAGUUCAUGUCGUAUUCUCCCAUUACAGCUACUUUGAUCGAGUCCUGAACAUGGCAGUACCCGAGUGGAACUACCGGCGCAGGGCGUCAUUUGCCUUCAUGAAAGGAUCAGAUGACACGAGGAGGUUCAUUCCUUAUCCAGUUCAGAACAACAUUCACGUCAUGGAUAAAAUUGAUCAGCAGAAAAGCCUGAAAGGCUUAGAGGAGAUUACCAAAAAUCACAGCAGCCGUAAACCCGAAAAUUUCGACGAGUGGCUGCUGCAGAAAUUUGGAGAGGGUCUCGCUGACGUCUUUAUGAGGAAAUACAACCGAAAAAUCUGGACAGUUGACACCAAAGAAAUGAACUCGGCCUGGGUUGGAGAGAGGGUUGCCGUACCAGACAUUAAAGAGAUUAAGACCAAGAUUGCAGAGGUGGAUCACGGAAAAAACGCCAAGGAUUCCGAAUGGGGACCGAACCGUUUCUUUCGUUUCCCAAAAUAUAAUGGGACUGGCGGAAUUUGGGAGUCAGUUGCGAGAAUGCUUCCUAGCCACUGGUUCAGAUUUCACGAAAAGGUAACUGCAAUUGAUAUUGACCAAAAAAUCAUUACUGUCGAGGCUGGAACUGGCGUGAAGACAUCACAUUACUCAUUAGCAUACGAUACCCUUAUAUCGACGGCGCCCUUAGAUACCUUUACAUCAUUAUUGCAAAGCCACUAUGUUUCUCUAGGGAAGAUGCAAGAGCUAGCGACACAGCUAGUGUACACGCACACUCACAUCGUAGGCAUCGGCCUCACCGGUCAGCUGCCAAGGAUCCUCGCUGAUAAAUCUUGGGUGUAUUUCCCGGAUUCUGAUUCUCCUUUCUACCGCGUGACAAUGUUCUCCAAUUAUUCAGAUGACCAUGUACCAAAACCUGGAGCAUACUGGUCGCUUAUGUGCGAAAUAGCCGAACCACAGAAAAGUUCUAAUCCAGCGUAUUGGAGUAAGGAAAACCUGAUAAAAGAAUCCAUUCAAGCCUUAGUCUUGUACGGGUUUAUCACUGCUGAUAUGGUAGUCUCCAAGCACUACCGUCGCUUGGACCACGGAUACCCCGUCCCUUCACUUAAAAGGGAUUCGAUCCUUGACACGAUACAACCUUGGCUGAAAACCAAAGACAUCUACUCCCGUGGACGGUUCGGAGGUUGGAAAUACGAGGUUGCCAAUCAAGAUCAUUCCUUCAUGCAAGGGGUCGAGGCCGUGGACAAGUUCCUUAGCAACGUUCCGGAGUUAACUUACCCGGAUCCGAAUCGGGCCAACUCCAAGAAAAACAGGGAUCGCACCAUACCUUUGGAUUACGAAUUCGUCAUCGCACACUAUAACGAAAAUCUUAAUUGGAUGAAGCCUCACGCCAACCACACCCUCAUCUACCAUCAAGGGAACGACCUGGGUCCACCAUUCCAGUUCUACGGUUGGGAGCGGCUGGAAAAUGUUGGGCUCGAAGCUCACGCUUAUCUUGUUCACAUUACCACCUACUACGACCAACUCGCUAACGUCACUGUCUUUGCUCAGGGAGAUAAUAUGCGAGGAAAAUGCCACAAAGAUAUAACACGGUUUAUCGAUUCUGCCAAAAAAGGUGUCCCUUGCAUUUUAAAGGGAUAUAAUCGCUCAACCUGGGGGAAUCUCGCAUUCUCUCCUCGUUAUUUAGCUCAUUUUAAGACGCACAAAUUAGACAGAGCAAAAGGGACUUUAGGGCAGAUGUACCAAGAUCUGUACGAUAAGCAACAUCCCAAAGGAUUGCGGGAGUGCGGGAACGGCUGUUUUGGGGCUACCAAGCAAAUGAUCCUAAGACAUCCAGUAGAAUUCUAUCAGAAGGCUCUAACCUAUGUGAGCAAAUCUCCAAACCCGGAAGAGGCUCACUAUUUGGAGAUAUUGUGGUAUCACUUCUUCGAACAAGUUAAUGACAGUGUUGUUAAUUGACUCAAGUUGCUGACUCGGACUCGAGUCGGACUCGAGUUGCUAUUUUUUUGACUCGGCUUGACUUGACUUCGGAAAAAUGACUUAAGACUUGAAUUGACUUGAAAAAAAAUAUGACUUGAGACUUGAUUUGCUGAAAUUGGAAUUGGGACUUGACUUGACUUAGAAAAAAAUGACUUGGUUACAACACUGGUUAAUAAACCUACAUAGACGUCCACGACGCAACUAAAAAGGUAAAAAAAAAAACCAGCCUCUCUUCUCGUAGAAUAACUAACGUGAGCCUUAAUUAAAUUCCUCAAAGUCACUAGGUAAGGUUGAAUGUUUACUAGUUGAAAUUCAAUUCAAUUCAAAGCACAUUUAUUUCCUCUCCAUGACAGAAAUGAAAAUAAAAUAAGUAAUGAACCUUGAAAGCAUAGUUUGUAUCAGGCAUGCCAUUACACAAAAACAGGCGACAGAAAAACAAUUACACACAUGACAUUGUAUACUUCUAAAAGCAGUAAACAAAGUUUUGCUACGAGUAGGAUCGCCGUGCAUAAAAAGUCCAUGGGCAUAAACAUAUUACAUAUAAAAUAUAUUACGUUACAUAAGGUACAAUUUAAAUUUGCGAUAAAAAUAUUAUUUGACCUUGAACAUCUAAGAGAGAAUGGAAGAUUAUCCCAUAAUGUAGGUCCGGAGUACUUAAUGUUAUGUUGUAUUGAAAUACAGAUGUUCUAUGUUGCAGUAUGUGGAAAUGUAAGUUAUUAUAGACACACGAGUGUUAUAGUUAUAGAAAUUACAGUUAAGUACAAACAUAUUUAAAUAGGAAAUGGGCAGUAAAUUGUUUCUAUACUUGAACAUAAAUAGUGCUUGUUGGCAUUUAUUUAGGUUUUUAAUGCUUAAAUAUUUUAGCGUUAUUCCAAUUUGUGUUGUUUAAGUCGAUUAUAAACCUUUCCAAUCUAUUUGCACAUUUACCUUUUCUCCAGAUAUCAUCAAGUAGUCUUACCAAACCUCCAUCACAAGAAAGCAGAUUGUGAAAUGGCGCUAGUUAUUCUGAGGCAUAUCCCUGCGCUUUGUAUUUUGUUUGAUGUUUGUUUUGAGGGUAUGCACAUUUUAUUUUAUUGUUUCGAUUGCAUUUUUA
Molecule: RNA transcript, 3375 nt
Organism: Patiria miniata (bat star)
Lineage: Eukaryota; Metazoa; Echinodermata; Asteroidea; Valvatida; Asterinidae
Exons: 3
Source: RefSeq, a predicted model, not a curated record